This 159-nucleotide small RNA is filed under the name Actinomyces denticolens. RNAcentral describes it as "c-di-AMP sequence". It matches the Rfam family "c-di-AMP riboswitch aptamer (ydaO/yuaA leader)". From Rfam's summary of the family: This family represents a conserved RNA structure found upstream of the ydaO and yuaA genes in Bacillus subtilis and related genes in other bacteria. The ydaO/yuaA element is thought to act as a genetic "off" switch for the ydaO and yuaA genes in its native state. The record is from RNAcentral. Lineage: Bacteria; Bacillati; Actinomycetota; Actinomycetes; Actinomycetales; Actinomycetaceae.
CCUGAUUCCCACCCAGAUCACCGGCAGGGACGGGGGAACCAUUUCCCGGAUGAGAACGAGCCCGCGCUCGGUCCUCCUUGGGGUGAAUCCCGCCUCGGCGGGUAGGGCGUCUCCAGCCCGAACCCGACAGCUAACCUCGACGGCUCUCCAGGAGAAAAA